RNAcentral lists this ribosomal RNA (428 nucleotides) under uncultured bacterium. RNAcentral describes it as "bacterial SSU rRNA". It matches the Rfam family "Bacterial small subunit ribosomal RNA", at positions 355 to 775 of the family's 1533-position model. The record is from RNAcentral.
CGGGGAAUAUUGCGCAAUGGGCGAAAGCCUGACGCAGCGACGCCGCGUGAGGGAUGAAGGUCUUCGGAUCGUAAACCUCUGUCAGGAGGGAAGAACCGCCACGGUGCUAAUCAGCCGUGGUCUGACGGUACCUCCAAAGGAAGCACCGGCUAACUCCGUGCCAGCAGCCGCGGUAAUACGGAGGGUGCGAGCGUUAAUCGGAAUCACUGGGCGUAAAGCGCACGUAGGCUGCUUGGUAAGUCAGGGGUGAAAGCCCGCGGCUCAACCGCGGAAUUGCCUUUGAUACUGCCGAGCUUGAGUCCGGGAGAGGGUAGUGGAAUUCCAGGUGUAGGAGUGAAAUCCGUAGAUAUCUGGAGGAACAUCAGUGGCGAAGGCGACUACCUGGACCGGUACUGACGCUGAGGUGCGAAAGCGUGGGGAGCAAACAG